UACGGAGGGAGCUAGCGUUGUUCGGAAUUACUGGGCGUAAAGCGCACGUAGGCGGCUUUGUAAGUUAGAGGUGAAAGCCCGGGGCUCAACCCCGGAAUAGCCUUUAAGACUGCAUCGCUUGAAUCCGGGAGAGGUGAGUGGAAUUCCGAGUGUAGAGGUGAAAUUCGUAGAUAUUCGGAAGAACACCAGUGGCGAAGGCAGCUCACUGGACCGGUAUUGACGCUGAGGUGCGAAAGCGUGGGGAGCAAACAGG
This 253-nucleotide ribosomal RNA is filed under the name uncultured bacterium. RNAcentral's name for it is "partial 16S ribosomal RNA". It matches the Rfam family "Bacterial small subunit ribosomal RNA", at positions 524 to 776 of the family's 1533-position model. The record is from RNAcentral.